GGGGCAGUGGCCUAGUCCGGUAUGGCGAUGGGCUCCAGACUCAUCGAUCGUGGGUUCGAAUCCCAUCUGCCCCACCA
RNAcentral lists this transfer RNA (77 nucleotides) under Candidatus Thorarchaeota archaeon. RNAcentral describes it as "tRNA-Trp". It matches the Rfam family "tRNA". Rfam says of the family: Transfer RNA (tRNA) molecules are approximately 80 nucleotides in length. The record is from RNAcentral. Lineage: Archaea; Promethearchaeati; Candidatus Thorarchaeota.